Molecule: ribosomal RNA, 253 nt
Filed under: uncultured bacterium
Lineage: Bacteria
Description: partial 16S ribosomal RNA
Rfam family: Bacterial small subunit ribosomal RNA
Source: RNAcentral
UACGGAGGGUGCGAGCGUUGUCCGGAAUCACUGGGCGUAAAGGGCGCGUAGGCGGCCUGAUAAGUAGGGGUGAAAGUCCUGCGGCUUAACCGCAGGGCUGCCUUCUAAACUGUCAGGCUAGAGCACAGUAGAGGCAGGUGGAAUUCCCGGUGUAGCGGUGGAAUGCGUAGAGAUCGGGAAGAACAUCAGUGGCGAAGGCGGCCUGCUGGGCUGUUGCUGACGCUGAGGCGCGACAGCGUGGGGAGCAAACAGG